AAGUGCUUUUCAAAACUAUUACGGUUGUUUGUGAUUAAACCAUAGCAGAUGACUUCAAAUUUCAUUACUUCAGAGCAGUUAUGCGCCCAAGAUGAUUUCUGAGGAAAGUCAAUCGACAGAAUGCAUAGCUUUUGGUUUGCAUGUUUAAUGCUCAAAUGUGGUCAUGGUUCUGAAAGUGAUAUUAGUCAAUGAGUGUUUUAUUCCAGGUAUUAUAAUAUAUAUUAUGAUUGUGAUUGAGAGGAUAUUUGCCAUAAAAACACAUAAAUGUAGGGAUUCUGAUAUAGCCUUAUAGGUGUUGUCCCACAGGAAGUUUCCCCCAGGCUUAUGGGGAUAAUGUCUCGCUGUUUACUUUGCCUAGUGGACUAGGCAUCAUCUACUAAACUUAAGUUGAAGCUAUAUUGGCCACCCAUCAUUUAUUCUGUAUGAUGAUGGAUUGUUUGCUAUUCUUUUCGUUAACUUUGGAGAGAGUUGAAUGUUACAUUACAUAUACACAAUGUACAUGUUUAUGCAAAAUAUACAGCUUCAAUCAGAUUUAAAUUGGUUGAUAUUUUUAAGCGGUGAUUCCCACUAGGUAACUCAAAAUUCUGUCAAGGUGAUGUGUGGGAUGAUGGUAGGGAGAAUUAUGUGGUAUAAUACCCUUGGAUUCAAAUGGAAGGUUUUGUUGUACUUGGAUUAGGCUAAUGUAGCUAGAUUUGAGAGUUUGUAUGCCUUAUGUCUGCAAAAGGAUAACUAAAUGCAUUAAAUAUCCCACACUUGUGAGUUUUUAUUGAGAAUUGAUAUAUGCAGUCUUAUUUUUACUUUGUAGAGAAGCUGCAUUUGUGACUCGA
RNAcentral lists this unclassified non-coding RNA (827 nucleotides) under Hevea brasiliensis (rubber tree). The record is from RNAcentral. Lineage: Eukaryota; Viridiplantae; Streptophyta; Magnoliopsida; Malpighiales; Euphorbiaceae.